Hirundo rustica (Barn swallow) is the source of this 366-nucleotide long non-coding RNA. RefSeq lists it as uncharacterized. The transcript has 3 exons. NCBI's taxonomy places the organism in Eukaryota, Metazoa, Chordata, Aves, Passeriformes, Hirundinidae. The record is from RefSeq and is a predicted model, not a curated record.
GGCAGGGAGUGCUGUGGGUGAUUGCUGCCUUCCUCGAGGCACGAUGGAGAAAGCUGAGGCUUCGAAAAAGGAGGAGGGGAUUACUGUAAAUUCAUUGAGGAAAUAAACCAAGGGGGCGUCGGAAGUUAAUAUUGAUGAUGAGAAGGAUAAAAGCAGAAACCCAGCAGCAAAUACUUUGCCUGUCUGAGUGAGAGAUUUGAAACUUUCCCCAGCUUGGAAUAUAUCUAUAUCUACCUCUCAGAAAGUAUCCCAAAAGUGUGAAUGUCAGUAAGACCAAGACACCCAGGUCACAGAAGUACGACCCUGUCUGAGAUCUUGCAGUGAAGCUCCAAGUCUGUGGAGCUAGUUGUGGAAGAAGGAGGUUGU